ACUGCUUAGAGGUUAAGCCCGAUGAACCUGAAUAUCCAUUAUGGAAAAUUCAACAUUAAUAUUAUAAUAUUUAUUUAUAAAUAUUAUAAAAAUAGUGUGCAAUUUUUCCAUAUAAGGACAUUGUAAUCUGUUAAUGUAAUAAAUAUUUAUCAUAAGAUUCAGUAUAUAAAAGUUUAUUCAAAUUAGUUAUUUUCCGAUUUCUAACAUAGAAUAAAUUUAAUUGAAUUUGAUAAAUCAUUGACAGAUUUAUUUAUAUAUAGUGCUUAAAUUCUUAAUUGAAUUUUACAAUAAUUUAUAAAUGUAUUUUCAUUUAUUUAUUUAUUGUAUGCACUUAUAUGAUUAACAAUGCUAUAGAUUCAGGAUACCUUCGGGACCCGUCUUGAAACACGGG
RNAcentral lists this ribosomal RNA (391 nucleotides) under Merodon albifrons. RNAcentral's name for it is "eukaryotic LSU rRNA". Lineage: Eukaryota; Metazoa; Arthropoda; Insecta; Diptera; Syrphidae. The record is from RNAcentral.